RNAcentral lists this ribosomal RNA (574 nucleotides) under Alternaria sp. TD9. RNAcentral describes it as "eukaryotic LSU rRNA". The stretch from base 226 to 379 matches the Rfam family "5.8S ribosomal RNA". The record is from RNAcentral. Lineage: Eukaryota; Fungi; Ascomycota; Dothideomycetes; Pleosporales; Pleosporaceae.
UUUGUGGGAAGGAAAAUUCGUAACAAGGUCUCCGUAGGUGAACCUGCGGAGGGAUCAUUACACAAAUAUGAAGGCGGGCUGGAACCUCUCGGGGUUACAGCCUUGCUGAAUUAUUCACCCUUGUCUUUUGCGUACUUCUUGUUUCCUUGGUGGGUUCGCCCACCACUAGGACAAACAUAAACCUUUUGUAAUUGCAAUCAGCGUCAGUAACAAAUUAAUAAUUACAACUUUCAACAACGGAUCUCUUGGUUCUGGCAUCGAUGAAGAACGCAGCGAAAUGCGAUAAGUAGUGUGAAUUGCAGAAUUCAGUGAAUCAUCGAAUCUUUGAACGCACAUUGCGCCCUUUGGUAUUCCAAAGGGCAUGCCUGUUCGAGCGUCAUUUGUACCCUCAAGCUUUGCUUGGUGUUGGGCGUCUUGUCUCUAGCUUUGCUGGAGACUCGCCUUAAAGUAAUUGGCAGCCGGCCUACUGGUUUCGGAGCGCAGCACAAGUCGCACUCUCUAUCAGCAAAGGUCUAGCAUCCAUUAAGCCUUUUUUCAACUUUUGACCUCGGAUCAGGUAGGAACCCCCAAAGCA